CACACACCGGCGUGAGGAGCGACCAAAAAUCCUCAGCACUCUUUGCUCUGGACACCUGGAACAGGAAAGAGCAGCCCUCGAGCAGCGUGGUGUUAACAUUCCCAAAAAGCACCAUGGCAACCUCUCAGUGUUCUUGCCUUCGUGGUCAGCAAGCAGAAGUCUCCAAAGGGGAUGAGACGAGGGGGACAAAAUCAAAUCUGGACACUGCAGCUUCUCCCAAGGAUCCACAACCCACCAGGGACGUGGUAAGUGUUGUGCUGAUGCUUCUGUAUUUUUACAGAAUGUUGAUUUUAUCAGUGAUUUGCUGUGCAAUCGCUCUGCCAAACAGUGAGCCUCAAAUGAGAAGAUUUUGGUUGUCAAGAGCACCAUUCUGGAAACGUCUAAAUCAUGACAACUUCGCCCAGUUUUGCUUUCCACUCUGAAUUUUACCUUUCCUCACAUCAUUCGAGUUCUUGAUUUCUGUUACUGAAUGUUUUUUACUCCCCUGAAGACAUUUUGUUAACUUGGAGACUGUUCUCAUGUAUGCUGUCCUUACAGCUGAGCUCUAAGCAUUAUUUUAAAA
Molecule: long non-coding RNA, 562 nt
Filed under: Chloebia gouldiae (Gouldian finch)
Lineage: Eukaryota; Metazoa; Chordata; Aves; Passeriformes; Passeridae
Description: Erythrura gouldiae (Gouldian finch) lncRNA (ENSEGOG00005013201.1)
Source: RNAcentral